This 270-nucleotide ribosomal RNA is filed under the name Triticum aestivum (bread wheat). Its description in RNAcentral is "partial small subunit ribosomal RNA". Lineage: Eukaryota; Viridiplantae; Streptophyta; Magnoliopsida; Poales; Poaceae. The record is from RNAcentral.
AUGCAGAGUUUGUUUGAGCCCUUGCUACCGCGAGAGCGGGACAAGCGGGGUGAGCAUGUUGUGCCAUGCAACGAAAGAGUUCGUUUCAACAACCUAACAGGAGAUACAUUGAAGUUUAAGGCAAACAAAAGGACAUACAUCGUCAUGUGUCACAAGGGGCCAGAGAGAGCGCAAUGUGUUGGGCAACAAGAAGGGGAAGGACUUCGUAGCAUAACUUGCAGUGUUGAUGUCUUGCUCGGGAUCAAGAUUCUUUGGCUAGGCACUCUUUGA